UCCCUGGCGGUCCAGUGGUUAGGACUCUAUGCUUUUAUUGCUGAGGGCCCAGGUUCGAUCCCUGGUCAGGGAA
Molecule: transfer RNA, 73 nt
Filed under: Ovis aries (sheep)
Lineage: Eukaryota; Metazoa; Chordata; Mammalia; Artiodactyla; Bovidae
Rfam family: tRNA
About the family: Transfer RNA (tRNA) molecules are approximately 80 nucleotides in length. Their secondary structure includes four short double-helical elements and three loops (D, anti-codon, and T loops).
Source: Rfam by way of RNAcentral